UUGAUCCACACUUAUAUUUUACUCGAGUUGAAGGCGAAGCAGUACAAUGAUAUUUUUGAAAGCCCAUGCAUUGCUGUUUAUAGGUGUUUUAUUGGUAACUCUAACAUUCCACGAAGCCAACUCAUAUAGAAGGUGCUCCAUAAACGAGGAAGAGCGAUGCAAAUGCUUUGAGAGCUCCUGCUUUCAGCUUUUAUAUGAUGGGGAAAAUUGUACACCCUGUAAAAAAGAGUGCCAGUGUAAAAUUGGUUUUGUACGCAACAGGGGUAUGUGUAUGAAAAAAGAAAAAUGCUGCUCGGGUUCUGUUUGUGUAUCGAAAAAGGAGCAAAUUAUAAGAACCAUACGUCAAAAGAUGGAAAAGCCGACCGCCAGGUUGAGUCAAUUCAAGUAAAAUCGAUUAUGUUCGCAAGAAUAAUGUUCAAUAAUGCUUAAAAAUACAAAUAGAUUUGCAGAGCUUGCCUACAAAAUUUUAAAA
Long non-coding RNA from Drosophila virilis, 472 nucleotides. RefSeq lists it as uncharacterized. Lineage: Eukaryota; Metazoa; Arthropoda; Insecta; Diptera; Drosophilidae. The record is from RefSeq and is a predicted model, not a curated record.